This 253-nucleotide ribosomal RNA is filed under the name uncultured bacterium. Its description in RNAcentral is "partial 16S ribosomal RNA". It matches the Rfam family "Bacterial small subunit ribosomal RNA", at positions 524 to 776 of the family's 1533-position model. The record is from RNAcentral.
UACAGAGGGGGCAAGCGUUAUUCGGAAUUAUUGGGCGUAAAGGGCGCGUAGGCGGCCUGGCAAGUGGAAGGUGAAAUCCCUCGGCUUAACCGAGGAACUGCCUCCCAAACUGCUUGGCUUGAGACCGGGAGAGGUGAGUGGAAUUCCCAGUGUAGCGGUGAAAUGCGUAGAUAUUGGGAGGAACACCAGUGGCGAAGGCGAUCUUCUGGACGGAUACUGACGCUGAGGCGCGAAAGCUAGGGGAGCAAACGGG